This 417-nucleotide ribosomal RNA is filed under the name Raillietina celebensis. Its description in RNAcentral is "bacterial SSU rRNA". It matches the Rfam family "Eukaryotic small subunit ribosomal RNA", at positions 89 to 433 of the family's 1831-position model. The record is from RNAcentral. Lineage: Eukaryota; Metazoa; Platyhelminthes; Cestoda; Cyclophyllidea; Davaineidae.
GCGAAUGGCUCAUUAAAUCAGCUAUGGUUUAUUGGAUCAUACCCGUUAAAUGGAUAACUGUAAUAACUCUAGAGCUAAUACAUGCCUCGAUGCUCUGACCCUGUCCCCUUGGGGCUUGCUCGUGGCGGCUGCGAUGGUGGAGAGGGAAGGGGUGCACUUAUUAGAUCAGAAGCCAACCGGCGUUGCGUGUGUAUCCUGCGUAUUCACGUGCGCUGCAGCACUUCUGGUGACUCUGGAUAAUUGUUACAGAUCGCAGUCGGCCUUGAGUCGGCGACGGGUCCUUCAAAUGUCUGCCCUAUCAACUUUCGAUGGUAGGUGACCUGCCUACCAUGGUGAUAACGGGUAACGGGGAAUCAGGGUUCGAUUCCGGAGAGGGAGCCUGAGAAACGGCUACCACUUCCAAGGAAGGCAGCAGGC